UGUCUCCAUGGAUUGUUUUUCCUCCAUUUUUAUUGAAACGUCCAUGAUGUGAUUAUUGUGAUUCCCAAGGACACAUUCUUUAAGCUCUUCAUCUUCAAUCACAGCAAAGGGAAAUUCAAUGAAAGCUUCUAGUUUCAAUCCUUUGACAUUAGUCUCCUUAACUUUGAGAUGAGUUUUGAAUUCAAGUUUAUUAGAAUCCUUGAUUUGUUGUUAUAGCAGAUUAUUGGGAUCUUAUUUGAUUAUUCUUUCAUAUUGUACUAUUAUUUCCUAUUUA
This 274-nucleotide unclassified non-coding RNA is filed under the name Hevea brasiliensis (rubber tree). The record is from RNAcentral. Lineage: Eukaryota; Viridiplantae; Streptophyta; Magnoliopsida; Malpighiales; Euphorbiaceae.